Non-coding RNA from Salmo salar (Atlantic salmon), 92 nucleotides. NCBI's taxonomy places the organism in Eukaryota, Metazoa, Chordata, Actinopteri, Salmoniformes, Salmonidae. The record is from Rfam.
UUCCCUGUGGCUCAGUUGGUAGAGCAUGGUGUUUGCAACGCCAGCAUGGUUUGUGCAACGCCAGGGUUGUGGGUUCGAUUCCCACAGGGGAC